RNAcentral lists this ribosomal RNA (253 nucleotides) under uncultured bacterium. RNAcentral's name for it is "partial 16S ribosomal RNA". It matches the Rfam family "Bacterial small subunit ribosomal RNA", at positions 524 to 776 of the family's 1533-position model. The record is from RNAcentral.
UACGGAGGGGGCUAGCGUUGUUCGGAAUUACUGGGCGUAAAGCGCGCGUAGGCGGACUGUUAAGUCGGGGGUGAAAUCCCGGGGCUCAACCCCGGAACGGCCUUCGAUACUGGCAGUCUGGAGGACGGAAGAGGUCAGUGGAAUGGCGAGUGUAGAGGUGAAAUUCGUAGAUAUUCGCCGGAACACCAGUGGCGAAGGCGACUGACUGGUCCGUUUCUGACGCUGAGGCGCGAAAGCGUGGGGAGCAAACAGG